CCUCCUUAUACGAUUUAGAACUUAUUUGUUCGUAGUGUCCACACAGAUGAUUGUUAGUUAGUUUUACCCAUUGGGUUUAACUGAUUAAUAUGCUCUUUAAAAAUUUGGAAAAGCUGAUAAUAAAAUUCUGAUAAAUAUUCGUAUUUAUCAAGAGUUUUCAAAAGUAAAAAAGAAUGAUAGCAGUAUCAUUCAGUGCCAAUUUAAUCAUUCAUGAUUAAUUGGUAUCUACUUUAGUAUUCAAUAUUAACUUCUGGCGAAGUUAAACUGUCACUAACAAAGACCCGUUUGGGUUGUAUGGUUAAGUGACUAAGCGUACACGGUGG
Molecule: unclassified non-coding RNA, 323 nt
Filed under: uncultured Shewanellaceae bacterium
Lineage: Bacteria; Pseudomonadati; Pseudomonadota; Gammaproteobacteria; Alteromonadales; Shewanellaceae
Description: partial 16S-23S ribosomal RNA intergenic spacer
Source: RNAcentral